RNAcentral lists this transfer RNA (85 nucleotides) under bovine gut metagenome. It matches the Rfam family "tRNA". From Rfam's summary of the family: Transfer RNA (tRNA) molecules are approximately 80 nucleotides in length. Their secondary structure includes four short double-helical elements and three loops (D, anti-codon, and T loops). The record is from RNAcentral.
GAGAGGUGGCUGAGUGGUCGAAAGCGCCGGUUUCGAAAACCGGUGGGCUCGUGAGGGUCCCGCAGGUUCGAAUCCUGUCCUCUCC